This 349-nucleotide small RNA is filed under the name Pan troglodytes (chimpanzee). RNAcentral describes it as "processed transcript". Lineage: Eukaryota; Metazoa; Chordata; Mammalia; Primates; Hominidae. The record is from RNAcentral.
GCCGCUCUACCCAGGAGCCUUGGAGUAUGAUCAGGAUAGAAGGUAUUGAACAUUUUUGUAUUUGGUGGGGAGAGAGCUCAGAGGGAGGAAGAAAUAGAAGAUGCAGAAGAGGGUGGACUAAUUGAUGGAGCAGAGUCUUUGAGAUUCGAUACAUUUCUCAGACUCAAGGUUUGCCAGGAGAACAGUUGUUAAAUGUGGGUACUAAAUCCACAAGAUUUUUUUGCAAAGAAACAGAUAUGUCUCAUUCUGGUUGGAGAUUAAAGACAUUGGAAGAGCAUGAGGCAGAGACAGGAAUGAAGUCUAAAGAAGCCAGAAAAUACAUUUUCAACAGUCUGGAUGAUAUAGCGCA